UGUUGAGAUGAGAGAAUAAAGAGUUGAUAUAUUGAGAGAGGAAGAGAUUUGGAGCAGACAGUAACUUUGGAGUUUUACUGUGGUAACUUUAGUUUAACAACAGUAACUACUUGGGGAAGUUAUCUGAUGGGAUGAGAAGGUAACUUAGUGAAGAGAAGAGAUGAGAUUCGACCAGAAAGGAUAAGGAAGGAUAAGGGAGCACUUUGACAGCCUGUAUGAUGCUGGAAAGGAGAGGAUGCUUUUACACUAGUGCAAGCAUGUGAGAAAGCACAGCCAAGUGAUUCAAAAGGAGUUCCAGCCUGUCAUUUGACUACACAUGCUUAUACAUUUCGAAUUUCCUUGUUGCUCUCUCUAUUAAUACUUGUAAACCUCAUCAGUUAUUAAUUAAUGGAGUUUUGAGUCUCUCUCUCUCUUGUUCUUAAUCUCCAAUCUCUUUAAGUCUCAGAUUAAACUUAAUCACUCUUUAAAUCACAAAAUCUAAUAUGGUAUCAGAGCCAGGUUCCUUUAAAAGGAAAGAGAUCUUAUCCUAGCUAGACUGAACCUGGACGUUUUUGUGUAUCUCUUAUCUAUAUAUGUUGUAAACUCUCUCAUUAAUCAAUCUAAUGGAGUUUUGAGUCUCUCUCUCUCUUGUUCUUAAUCUCCAAUCUCUUUAAUUCUCAGAUUAAACUUAAUCACUCUUUAAAUCACAAAAUCUAAUAUGGUAUCAGAGCCAGGUUCCUUUAAAAGGAGAGAGUGAUUUCGUUUUUCCAAAUGUUCUUGAGUGUUCUUGAGUGUUCUUGAGAGUUCUUGAGAUUUUUUCAAGAGCUAGAUCCUUUAAAAGUCAAGUUUGUGUCUGUUGGGGUUUCUUUUGGAGAGUCAGCUUCAAGGGAGUCCCUUUAGGUGUUUGACAAGGUCAGAAGAGGUGUCUAGCUUGUGGUUAAGCUUGGCGUGAGAG
This 934-nucleotide long non-coding RNA is filed under the name Brassica napus (rape). Its description in RNAcentral is "long non-coding RNA (BNAP_LNC023245)". Lineage: Eukaryota; Viridiplantae; Streptophyta; Magnoliopsida; Brassicales; Brassicaceae. The record is from RNAcentral.